RNAcentral lists this transfer RNA (63 nucleotides) under Prolachesilla sp. PrspLA. RNAcentral describes it as "tRNA-Cys". The record is from RNAcentral. Lineage: Eukaryota; Metazoa; Arthropoda; Insecta; Psocodea; Lachesillidae.
AAUUUUAUAGUUUAAUCAGAACAUUAAAUUGCAAAUUUAAAAGUAAUUUAAAAUUUAAAAUUU